GACGAACGCUGGCGGCGUGCUUAACACAUGCAAGUCGAACGAAGAGCGAUGGAAGCUUGCUUCUAUCAAUCUUAGUGGCGAACGGGUGAGUAACGCGUAAUCAACCUGCCCUUCAGAGGGGAACAACAGUUGGAAACGACUGCUAAUACCGCAUACGAUCUAAUCUCGGCAUCGAGGAUAGAUGAAAGGUGGCCUCUACAUGUAAGCUAUCACUGAAGGAGGGGAUUGCGUCUGAUUAGCUAGUUGGAGGGGUAACGGCCCACCAAGGCGAUGAUCAGUAGCCGGUCUGAGAGGAUGAACGGCCACAUUGGGACUGAGACACGGCCCAGACUCCUACGGGAGGCAGCAGUGGGGAAUCUUCCGCAAUGGACGAAAGUCUGACGGAGCAACGCCGCGUGAGUGAUGACGGCCUUCGGGUUGUAAAGCUCUGUUAAUCGGGACGAAAGGCCUUCUUGCGAAUAGUGAGAAGGAUUGACGGUACCGGAAUAGAAAGCCACGGCUAACUACGUG
Molecule: ribosomal RNA, 510 nt
Filed under: uncultured bacterium
Lineage: Bacteria
Description: partial 16S ribosomal RNA
Rfam family: Bacterial small subunit ribosomal RNA
Source: RNAcentral